AAGUCGUACAAGGUUUCCGUAGGUGAACCUGCGGAAGGAUCAUUACCGAGUAGGUCGCCUUCCAGGUGCCCGACUCCCAACCCUUUGUCUAAGAUACCUCAGUUGCUUCGGUGGGCCGGGCCGCGACCAACUGGCUUCGUGACCGGUGGCCGGGGAACCCGGCGGCAGAGCGCCCACCGACGGCCUCCACAAAACUCUUGAUACCUAAACCUGUCGUCUGAAUUUACUUGAUAUUAAUCAAAAACAAAACUUUCAACACGGACUCUUGGUUCUGGCAUCGAUGAAGAACGCAGCGAAAUGCGAUAAGUAAUGCGAAUUGCAGAAUUUCGUGAGUCAUCGAAUCUUUGAACGCACAUUGCGCCACUGGUAUUCCGGUGGGCAUGCCUGUUCGAGCGUCAUUAUCCUCCCUCAAAACUCCUGUUUUGGUGUUGGCCGCGUUGGUCACCUCCGACCAACGGCCUCAAAGACAAUGACGGCGUCCGUGGGACCCUCUCGCAGUGAGCUUUUGUUAGCGCGCGUUGAGUUUAAAGGACCUUCCGGGCCGGCCACCUUUAUCUAUUUUACAAGGUUGACCUCGGAUCAGGUAGGAUACCGCUGAACUUAA
RNAcentral lists this ribosomal RNA (604 nucleotides) under uncultured fungus. RNAcentral describes it as "eukaryotic LSU rRNA". The stretch from base 248 to 398 matches the Rfam family "5.8S ribosomal RNA". Lineage: Eukaryota; Fungi. The record is from RNAcentral.